GCUGAUGCUCAGGUAUUAAAUUAUUUUUUCUCAUGUAAGUUAAUAGUUCCUUGACUAUAACUUUUUCCAUAAUUUUACAGCAUGUCGACGUGAGACUUACAGGUCUAUAGUUAGCAGGAUCAAGUUUAUCUCCUGACUUGUACAAAGGCGUGAUUGUUGCUUGCAACCACUCGUAGGGCAAAGUGCCUUGUAAGAAUGAUUUUGUCAUCAUUUUGGCAAGUGGGCCCGACAACGAAGCAGCACAAGUUCUCAGGAGUUUGGGAGGUAUCUGAUCCGGACCUGGAGCUGUAUUUAAUUUAAUGGCACAGAGUUGGCUUUUUACCAGAUCCGGAGUAAAAUUAAUAUAAGACAACCCACUAAAUGUAGCAGCAAAACUGUCCGCUAAAGUGUUUGCAGUUUCUGUAUGAUCGGAGCAGAGUAGACCUGAAGCAUUUCGUACUAAAGGGACCGACACACGACUAGAGAUAAAUUUACGUACAUGGGAAUAAAAUAGUUUUGGUUUAUUUAAUAUAGAAUUUUCAUAAUUACACCUGGCUAUUUGUAAAUCAGAUUUUAGUUGGUUAGAAAAUCUUUUAUAAGCAGAAAAAUUAUCUUCAGUAGGCUUCCUUUUAAAUUUUUUCCAUAAUUUAGCUUUGUAUUUUAUUUUGUCAAGCAUGUGUUGAUUUAUCCACGGUUUAUCUUUUCUCAGUCGGUUUGUAAACAGUCUGGAAUUUGUUGUAAUGCAAGUUUGUAAAAUCGAUUUAAAAUGUUUCCAUUGUUCUUCCGCAUUUAGUGAAUCUAAACCAUUCCAGUCGUAAGUCAAGAGACUUUCGUCUAUGCGAGUGUAGUCAACAAUUGAUGUUGUUUUAAUUCUUGCAUUUGGCUCUGAAUAUAUCAUAAUUUGUAACUCAA
Long non-coding RNA from Tribolium castaneum (red flour beetle), 891 nucleotides. RefSeq lists it as uncharacterized. The transcript is spliced from 2 exons. The record is from RefSeq and is a predicted model, not a curated record. NCBI's taxonomy places the organism in Eukaryota, Metazoa, Arthropoda, Insecta, Coleoptera, Tenebrionidae.